Syzygium oleosum is the source of this 468-nucleotide long non-coding RNA. RefSeq lists it as uncharacterized. The transcript has 2 exons. The record is from RefSeq and is a predicted model, not a curated record. Lineage: Eukaryota; Viridiplantae; Streptophyta; Magnoliopsida; Myrtales; Myrtaceae.
GGCAGGUACCACAGAGAAGCAUCCAAUAAACAAGAGGUUGAUACUAGUCGGGGAGGUCUUUCGGUUUGAUUUGGAUUCAUUGAAAUGGAUGGUGAUCGGGAAGCUUCCUUACCGCGUCAAAACCGCAAUCGCAGGCUUUUGGGACGGCUGGCUGUACUUUACAUCGGGGCAACGGGAUCGAGGACCAGAUAAUCCGCGACCUAAGAUGGUCAUUGGAGACAUGUGGAGGACCAAAUUGAGACUGUGAUGCAAGUUGCAUAAAGUCGACACUUUGAAGCAUUGUCUUAGCUUAGAUUUUUUUUCUUCUUUUUCACACACAUUUUCUCUAGGCCAGGUAAAUAGUCCAAGUAUAUUCUUUCUUCAAUCUUUUUACUUGAGCGAGGCAUAUAAUUAUUUAACUGCAGUUUUUACAUCUUUGUGCAAAAGUGGUAGAUUGUAUUGAAUUGAAUAGAGGAGAGCAUUGACAAA